This 460-nucleotide ribosomal RNA is filed under the name uncultured bacterium. Its description in RNAcentral is "partial 16S ribosomal RNA". It matches the Rfam family "Bacterial small subunit ribosomal RNA", at positions 338 to 795 of the family's 1533-position model. The record is from RNAcentral.
CCUACGGGAGGCUGCAGUGAGGAAUAUUGGUCAAUGGACGAGAGUCUGAACCAGCCAAGUAGCGUGAAGGAUGACUGCCCUAUGGGUUGUAAACUUCUUUUAUAUGGGAAUAAAACGUUCCACGUGUGGGAUUUUGUAUGUACCAUAUGAAUAAGGAUCGGCUAACUCCGUGCCAGCAGCCGCGGUAAUACGGAGGAUCCGAGCGUUAUCCGGAUUUAUUGGGUUUAAAGGGAGCGUAGGUGGAUUGUUAAGUCAGUUGUGAAAGUUUGCGGCUCAACCGUAAAAUUGCAGUUGAAACUGGCAGUCUUGAGUACAGUAGAGGUGGGCGGAAGUCGUGGUGUAGCGGUGAAAUGCUUAGAUAUCACGAAGAACUCCGAUUGCGAAGGCAGUUCACUGGACUGCAACUGACACUGAGGCUCGAAAGUGUGGGUAUCAAACAGGAUUAGAUACCCCAGUAGUC